UGGGGAAUAUUGCACAAUGGGCGAAAGCCUGAUGCAGCAACGCCGCGUGAGUGAUGAAGGCCUUCGGGUUGUAAAGCUCUGUCUUCUGGGACGAUAAUGACGGUACCAGAGGAGGAAGCCACGGCUAACUACGUGCCAGCAGCCGCGGUAAUACGUAGGUGGCAAGCGUUGUCCGGAUUUACUGGGCGUAAAGGAUGCGUAGGCGGAUACUUAAGUCAGAUGUGAAAAUCCCGGGCUUAACUUGGGAACUGCAUUUGAAACUGGGUAUCUAGAGUGCGGGAGAGGAAAGUGGAAUUCCUAGUGUAGCGGUGAAAUGCGUAGAGAUUAGGAAGAACACCAGUGGCGAAGGCGACUUUCUGGACCGUAACUGACGCUGAGGCAUGAAAGCGUGG
RNAcentral lists this ribosomal RNA (392 nucleotides) under uncultured bacterium. RNAcentral describes it as "bacterial SSU rRNA". It matches the Rfam family "Bacterial small subunit ribosomal RNA", at positions 355 to 764 of the family's 1533-position model. The record is from RNAcentral.